Molecule: ribosomal RNA, 269 nt
Filed under: uncultured Streptococcus sp.
Lineage: Bacteria; Bacillati; Bacillota; Bacilli; Lactobacillales; Streptococcaceae
Description: partial 16S ribosomal RNA
Rfam family: Bacterial small subunit ribosomal RNA
Source: RNAcentral
UUAGUUGCCAUCAUUCAGUUGGGCACUCUAGCGAGACUGCCGGUAAUAAACCGGAGGAAGGUGGGGAUGACGUCAAAUCAUCAUGCCCUUAUGACCUGGGCUACACACGUGCUACAAUGGUUGGUACAACGAGUUGCGAGUCGGUGACGGCGAGCUAAUCUCUUAAAGCCAAUCUCAGUUCGGAUUGUAGGCUGCAACUCGCCUACAUGAAGUCGGAAUCGCUAGUAAUCGCAGAUCAGCACGCUGCGGUGAAUACGUUCCCGGGCCUU